This 1083-nucleotide ribosomal RNA is filed under the name Metarhizium anisopliae. RNAcentral's name for it is "partial large subunit ribosomal RNA". The record is from RNAcentral. Lineage: Eukaryota; Fungi; Ascomycota; Sordariomycetes; Hypocreales; Clavicipitaceae.
AGCGCAUCCCGUUUCGCGGGGCGGGUCGUUGCGCGUUAGAGCCACCGAGUAGUGGCCGCAGUUAGUACGGAGAGCCGCCGAGUGGUGGUUCAGGAGGGAAAAUCUGCCAAGCUCUCAAAGGUCAGGCAAGCGAGAGGUUUACCGAGUGGGAAAGUCGGGCGAUUAAAAAGAUAUACCAAGUCCAAAAUACUGCCGGCAACAUACCCGGGACCCCGAGUAAGUCGGGGAAGAAGUUCGGCGGGUGUUUUUCCAGCCAACUCAACUUUGACCUAAUUUUACCUGCCCGAGCUCACGGGUAGGCUGCGGUUAAUUUUUGGACUUUGCGGAUUUACUUUAAUCAAUUCACAGGAAGUUACCUGCCAAAUUGCCUGGGCUCCCGGGUAGGCUAUAGUUGACUUUUGGACUUGGCGGAUUUUUUUAAACUUACUUCCCCGACUAUAACCUGGGAUUUUCCCGACCAUGGCUCACGGGUAGGUUAGUUGUGAUUUUUGGACUUGGUGAAAUUUCUACUUUCCUGCCAAGUCUAGCCUACCUGGGAGCCCAGGCAAGUCGGGCAGGUAAAUUCCGCCAACUCGGCAGGGAACUGAUUGCAAAUUAAUCUAACCAAAUCUGCCAAGUCCACAAGUUAACUAUAGCCUACCCGGUAGACCUGGGUGUUUCCCCCGUGAUUUCCUGUGAAAACAAAAAAGUUAGGUGUUUUAGUACUUAAUUUAUGUAGGUAUGGGUUGAUUUUUUUGUUUUCUUAUAUAAAUAAAAUUUGCGGAAAAUAAAAAAUAAACCACGAGAGCCCGGUAGCGGAGGCGAGCCCUUAAGGUAGUCGGUAAGUAUAUAAGAGAGAGGGCUGGACACGCGUCGCGUCGCGUAUUUCCACCGCACCUAAUACUUUUGGCUUUAGGGUAGGCUGCUUGUUUAGAGGCGCGCUGAAUUAGAUGGUCUCUUAAGUGAGGGGAUUUCUCUGGUGGCAGUUGCCUGUAAUCCGGGAGCCCGUGGUGGUAAAGUCAGCUAUAAGGCUUGUGUGUGUGUGGGUGCGCGGGUGUGUGUGCCGGGGCCCUGUAAGUCCCGACCAGGAACCCUACAGGUCAC